This is a long non-coding RNA of Molossus molossus (Pallas's mastiff bat), 454 nucleotides long. RefSeq lists it as uncharacterized. The transcript is spliced from 3 exons. Lineage: Eukaryota; Metazoa; Chordata; Mammalia; Chiroptera; Molossidae. The record is from RefSeq and is a predicted model, not a curated record.
UUUUCUGUCGCUGCUGUAAUGGCUCCUGAGAAACUGAGACCAUCGUUCCAACAGCCCACGAAUGGCUGCCUUUUCCAUGUGGUAUUUCAUGAUUGGACUGCAAAACCUCAAGAGAAACAAUGGGAAAGACCAUCUCCAGAGAAGAAUCUUCCCUUCCCUGCCCUCAAUUCUUUAUGCCCUUGGCUGGCAGCUUUACUUUGAAGAAUAGUCGAAACCACACUCCAUCACAAGGAGACAAAGGGCAAGGUGGAAGCUGUGAGGCCAUCUCCCUCCAAGGGAUGGGGACAGGAGGCAAGGGCUAUGCUGGGCAAGGACACACCAGGACAAGAGGCACCUCCUCUUGGGCUGCCCCCAGCGCCAGGACUGCACCACGCAGGAAAGAGCUAUCUAAGUAUGACUUAGAAUGAAGCCCGCAGGUAAAGCAGAGACAGCCCAGCUAUGAGUGAAAGGCGCA